UGGGGAAUAUUGGACAAUGGGCGAAAGCCUGAUCCAGCCAUGCCGCGUGUGUGAAGAAGGUCUUCGGAUUGUAAAGCACUUUAAGUUGGGAGGAAGGGCAGUAAAUUAAUACUUUGCUGUUUUGACGUUACCGACAGAAUAAGCACCGGCUAACUCUGUGCCAGCAGCCGCGGUAAUACAGAGGGUGCAAGCGUUAAUCGGAAUUACUGGGCGUAAAGCGCGCGUAGGUGGUUAGUUAAGUUGGAUGUGAAAUCCCCGGGCUCAACCUGGGAACUGCAUUCAAAACUGACUGACUAGAGUAUGGUAGAGGGUGGUGGAAUUUCCUGUGUAGCGGUGAAAUGCGUAGAUAUAGGAAGGAACACCAGUGGCGAAGGCGACCACCUGGACUGAUACUGACACUGAGGUGCGAAAGCG
Molecule: ribosomal RNA, 414 nt
Filed under: uncultured bacterium
Lineage: Bacteria
Description: bacterial SSU rRNA
Rfam family: Bacterial small subunit ribosomal RNA
Source: RNAcentral